Small nucleolar RNA from Lactuca sativa (garden lettuce), 71 nucleotides. The record is from RefSeq and is a predicted model, not a curated record. Lineage: Eukaryota; Viridiplantae; Streptophyta; Magnoliopsida; Asterales; Asteraceae.
UUUUUGCCUAUGAUGGUUUAUAAAUAUACUUUGAGUUUACGCUAUGAAAAGAAUUUAAUCUGAGGCAAUUU